GGCUCUUGUUCUCUGUGGCUGAGGUGCCAGGGAAGGCCGGUUCCGGGCUUCGAGGGAAAGCCUCCCAGGGGCUGUGAGGAUCGUGGACGUGGCCGUGUACUUCUCCCGGGAGGAGUGGGGGUGUCUGCGGCCCGCACGGAGGGUCCUGAACCUGCACGUGACAUAGGAAACCUACGGCCACCUGGGCGCGCUAGGUGAGGCCCAGCAGCCUGGCCAGGACUCUAAUAUGUGGGAAGCAGGGACUGAUGCGCCCAGAGGUGGUGGGGUUGGAAGUGUGGAGCACUGAGCAAGGGGCCUCAGCUGUCUUUUUGGUGUUCGGCCCAGCCCAGUAUUUCCUUUUCGGAGGAUUUUCAGGCCCCGGACCCGCCUUUAUCUCUUGGGUGGAAGUGAAAGGAUGAAAAUGCAACCCAACCCUCCCAGAACCCAGGAAGUUAAUAAAAAGCUCUAAAUGCCCCCGAAUUCCAGACCCUGUUUCCUGCCAGCAAAUAGGUAGAAGGUCACACUUCUUGCUGUUCCAGGGCCUGCUAUCCUGGCCUAAGUAAGAUAACAGGAAAUGAGUUGACUAAUCGCUUAUCUGGAUUCUGUAAAACUGACUAGCGCCAUAGAAGAAUUGAUUACACAUUGAAAGCCCUAGUGACUUAUCUCAACUGCAAUCUGUCACUCUGCCCAGGAGCCCACGCAAAUGAGGACCUCCGGAGCUGUUUUAAAAUGAUUGGUCCACGGAGCGCGGGCUCUCGAUGUUUUAAAAUGAUUGGUUUGCGAAGCGCGGGCUUUGACCUGGGAACCUCCAUAUGCCGAGGGAGCGGCCCAAGAAAUAGCAGCAACAACAACAACAACAACAACAACAGCAAAGAGGAAUGCUGCUUUUAUGUGGAUCAUUCUGAGCUAUCAGGGACUCUAUGAACAAGCUCAGAAAAAGGUUAGAAAAACGUCACAAAGAAAAGAGGCUGGCCAAGGAUGGUUUGAGGGAUGGUUCAACAAGUCCCCAUGGGUGACCACCCUGCUGUCUGCUCUGAUAGGACCCCUAGUGAUAACUGCUCCUGUUGCUUACAGUUGGGCCUUGCUUAAUUAAUCAGUUUGUUGCCUUUGUCAGAGAACGAGUGAGUGCAGUUCAGAUCAUGGUACUUAGACAGCAGUACCAAGGCCUUCCGAGCCAAGGAGAAACUGACCUUUAGCCUUCCCAGUUCUAAGAUUAGAACUAUUAACAAGAGAAGAAGUGGGGAAUGAAAGGAUGAAAAUGCAACCUAACCCUCCCAGAACCCAGGAAGUUAAUAAAAAGCUCUAAAUGCCCCCGAAUUCCAGACCCUGUUCCCUGCCAGCAAAUAGGUAGAAGGUCACACUUCUUGCUGUUCCAGGGCCUGCCUUCUGUAUGAAACUAGAUGAAAGAACGUAAAAUAGGCCCUGGAAUGCGUGACCCUGGCCUAAGUAAGACAACAGGAAAUGAGUUGACUAAUCGCUUAUCUGGAUUCUGUAAAACUGACUGGCACCAUAGCAUCUCAACUGCAAUCUGUCACCCUGCCCAGGAGCCCGCGCAAAUGCGGACCUCCGGCGCUGUUUUAAAAUGAUUGGUUUGCGAAGCACGGGCUUUGCUGUGAACCCCAUAAAAUCUGUCCCGAUUCCGCACUCGGGGCCGCAGUCCUCUACCCCUGCGUGGCAUACGACUGUGGGCCCCAGCGCGCUUGGAAUAAAAAUCCUCUUGCUGUUUGCA
RNAcentral lists this long non-coding RNA (1708 nucleotides) under Sus scrofa (pig). RNAcentral describes it as "lncRNA (ENSSSCG00005025489.1)". The record is from RNAcentral. Lineage: Eukaryota; Metazoa; Chordata; Mammalia; Artiodactyla; Suidae.